GAGCCCGGAGAAGCGGCGCGCCGCCAGGAACCCCCGCGCCACCGCCGCCGCGCCUGCCUCCAGCAGCUCUCGGCCACGCGACCGUGCGGUCAGCGGCGCUUGGAGGGCGGCCGGAGCUGGGCCUGAGCCUGGGGACUCGCCUGAUCCCGGGCGGCCAUCACCAUCACCACAACCGCCCCACCCCCGCCGUCGCCUCGUGGGGCCCCGGCCCCCUCCCGGGUCCAUUGUCCCUUGAAGGGAAGUGAUGGCACAGGCUCUGAUCAGCUCUUCUGGGAACAGACAGAGAAGUGGGAAUUCCUGCCAAAGCCACAGGAUGAAUACAGCGCCAAGAACCUGAACCA
This 341-nucleotide long non-coding RNA is filed under the name Mus pahari (shrew mouse). Its description in RNAcentral is "Mir9-3 host gene (MGP_PahariEiJ_G0004124.1)". The record is from RNAcentral. Lineage: Eukaryota; Metazoa; Chordata; Mammalia; Rodentia; Muridae.